UACGUAGGGGGCAAGCGUUGCUCGGAAUGACUGGGCGUAAAGGGCGCGUAGGCGGUUUGCACAGUCGGGCGUGAAAUUCCAGGGCUCAACCUUGGGGCUGCGUUCGAGACGUGUGGGCUAGAGUGUGGAAGAGGGUCGUGGAAUUCCCAGUGUAGAGGUGAAAUUCGUAGAUAUUCGGAAGAACACCAGUGGCGAAGGCGACUUACUGGGACACAUAUUGACGCUGAGGUGCGAAAGCGUGGGGAGCAAACAGG
RNAcentral lists this ribosomal RNA (254 nucleotides) under uncultured bacterium. RNAcentral describes it as "partial 16S ribosomal RNA". It matches the Rfam family "Bacterial small subunit ribosomal RNA", at positions 524 to 776 of the family's 1533-position model. The record is from RNAcentral.